Salvia splendens (bonfire salvia) is the source of this 232-nucleotide long non-coding RNA. RefSeq lists it as uncharacterized. Lineage: Eukaryota; Viridiplantae; Streptophyta; Magnoliopsida; Lamiales; Lamiaceae. The transcript has 4 exons. The record is from RefSeq and is a predicted model, not a curated record.
UUAUUUUCAUUCCUCUCAUCCCUGCAGCAAACAGAGGAAUUCUUCAAAACUUCUACUCAAGUAAUCAAAAUUCUCCAGCUUCAAGAACCAAUCUUUUCAGAUCCUUGCUGUUGUGAUUUCUCAAUUCACGGAGGUGAUAUCUCUCAAGGGAAUCGUGAACGCAAAGGAAAAAAAAUAGUUUCGGAUUAAGCAAUCGAGGUUGAGCGGCGACGAGGAUGUGGUGGUGUUGAGC